UACGUAGGGUGCAUGCGUUAAUCGGAAUUACUGGGCGUAAAGCGUGCGCAGGCGGUUAUGUAAGACAGAUGUGAAAUGCCCGGGCUUAACCUGGGAACUGCAUUUGUGACUGCACGGCUAGAGUGUGUCAGAGGGGGGUAGAAUUCCACGUGUAGCAGUGAAAUGCGUAGAUAUGUGGAGGAACACCGAUGGCGAAGGCAGCCCCCUGGGAUAACACUGACGCUCAUGCACGAAAGCGUGGGGAGCAAACAGG
Molecule: ribosomal RNA, 253 nt
Filed under: uncultured bacterium
Lineage: Bacteria
Description: partial 16S ribosomal RNA
Rfam family: Bacterial small subunit ribosomal RNA
Source: RNAcentral